AACUUACCAGGUCAAGACAUGGGCGUGAUUGACAGGCUAAUGACUUUUCUCGAUUCCAUGGAUGGUGGUGCAUGGUCGCACUUAGUUGGUGCAGUGAUUUGUCAGGUUUAUUCCGGUAACGAACGAGACCUCGGCCUUGUAAAUAGCUAUGCUGCUUACAGGGACAUUGGCGGCUACGCCAAGGAAGCUCGAGGCAAUUGCAGAUCUGGAAUGCCCUUAGAUGUCCUGGGUCGCACGCGUGCUACAAUGACGCCACGAACGAGCUUGCGUGAUGAAAGUUACGCAUAAUCAGCAGUCGGCGUCUUAAGGGAUAGUCUCUUGUAACUGUGGGACUCCAACUAGGAAUGUCUCGUAAGCACAAGUCAACAUCUUGUGUUGAUUACGUCCCUGCUCUUUGUACACACCGCCCGUCGCUCCUACCGAUCGAGUGUUUAGGUGAAUUUGAUGGAUGUAAGGAAGUCAAAUAAACCUGAGCACUAGAGAAGAGAAGUCGACAAACA
Molecule: ribosomal RNA, 500 nt
Filed under: uncultured Myrionecta
Lineage: Eukaryota; Ciliophora; Litostomatea; Cyclotrichida; Mesodiniidae
Description: bacterial SSU rRNA
Rfam family: Eukaryotic small subunit ribosomal RNA
Source: RNAcentral